RNAcentral lists this long non-coding RNA (241 nucleotides) under Daucus carota (carrot). RNAcentral's name for it is "long non-coding RNA (DCAR_LNC000289)". The record is from RNAcentral. Lineage: Eukaryota; Viridiplantae; Streptophyta; Magnoliopsida; Apiales; Apiaceae.
AGGUGUUGGCUAAGAUUGGCACAGUAGCUUAUAAGCUGAAAUUGUUUGAUCAUGCAAAGAUUCAUGAUGCAUGUCUUUCAUGUGUUCCAAUUGAAGCAAUUCAGAGGGGCUUUGCAUGUUACUACUGACCUUCCUAGUUGGUUGUCAUCUUCUUUGGUACCACACUCUGUUCUUAAUAAAAGAAUGAGGCCAUUUCAGAAUAGAGCUAAAGUAGAGUAUCCGGUGCAAUUGGCAGGCCAGG